RNAcentral lists this ribosomal RNA (460 nucleotides) under uncultured bacterium. Its description in RNAcentral is "partial 16S ribosomal RNA". It matches the Rfam family "Bacterial small subunit ribosomal RNA", at positions 338 to 795 of the family's 1533-position model. The record is from RNAcentral.
CCUACGGGAGGCUGCAGUGAGGAAUAUUGGUCAAUGGGCGUAAGCCUGAACCAGCCAAGUCGCGUGCGGGAUGAAGGCUCUAUGGAUUGUAAACCUCUUUUAUGCGGGAAUAAAGUGCGGGACGUGUCCUGUUUUGUAUGUACCGUAUGAAUAAGGAUUGGCUAGUUCCGUGCCAGCAGCCGCGGUAAUACGGAGGUUCCGAGCGUUGUCCGGAUUUAUUGGGUUUAAAGGGAGCGUAGGCGGCCUUUUAAGCUAGCGGUGAAAGUCUGUGGCGCAAACAUGGAAUUGCCGUUGAAACUGGGAGGCUUGAGUAUGUUUGAGGCAGGCGGAAUGCGUGGUGUAGCGGUGAAAUGCUUAGAUAUCACGCAGAACCCCGAUUGCGAAGGCAGCCUGCCAAGCCAUGACUGACGCUGAUGCACGAAAGCGUGGGGAUCAAACAGGAUUAGAUACCCCAGUAGUC